GACGAACCGUGCGAACGUUGUUCGGAAUCACUGGGCUUAAAGGGCGCGUAGGCGGUCUACCAAGUCGGCGGUGAAAUCUUUCGGCUUAACCGGAAAAGUGCCUUCGAUACUGGUGGGCUUGAGGGAGGUAGAGGCAGAUGGAACUUCCGGUGGAGCGGUGAAAUGUGUUGAUAUCGGAAGGAACGCCGGUGGCGAAAGCGAUCUGCUGGACCUCUUCUGACGCUGAGGCGCGAAAGCCAGGGGAGCAAACGGG
This 253-nucleotide ribosomal RNA is filed under the name uncultured bacterium. Its description in RNAcentral is "partial 16S ribosomal RNA". It matches the Rfam family "Bacterial small subunit ribosomal RNA", at positions 524 to 776 of the family's 1533-position model. The record is from RNAcentral.